RNAcentral lists this ribosomal RNA (252 nucleotides) under uncultured bacterium. Its description in RNAcentral is "partial 16S ribosomal RNA". It matches the Rfam family "Bacterial small subunit ribosomal RNA", at positions 524 to 776 of the family's 1533-position model. The record is from RNAcentral.
UACGUAGGGUCCGAGCGUUGUCCGGAAUUACUGGGCGUAAAGAGCUCGUAGGUGGGUUGUCGCGUUGUUCGUGAAAACUCACAGCUCAACUGUGGGCGUGCGGGCGAUACGGGCAGACUAGAGUACUGCAGGGAGACUGGAAUUCCUGGUGUAGCGGUGGAAUGCGCAGAUAUCAGGAGGAACACCGGUGGCGAAGGCGGGUCUCUGGGCAGUAACUGACGCUGAGGAGCGAAAGCGUGGGGAGCGAACAGG